AUACGGAGGGUCCAAGCGUUAUCCGGAAUCAUUGGGUUUAAAGGGUCCGCAGGCGGUCAAUUAAGUCAGAGGUGAAAGCCCAUCGCUCAACGAUGGAACUGCCUUUGAUACUGGUUGACUUGAGUUAUACGGAAGUAGAUAGAAUAAGUAGUGUAGCGGUGAAAUGCAUAGAUAUUACUUAGAACACCGAUUGCGAAGGCAGUCUACUACGUAUAUACUGACGCUGAGGGACGAAAGCGUGGGGAGCGAACAGGAUUAGAUACCCUAGUAGUCC
This 274-nucleotide ribosomal RNA is filed under the name uncultured bacterium. RNAcentral's name for it is "partial 16S ribosomal RNA". It matches the Rfam family "Bacterial small subunit ribosomal RNA", at positions 523 to 796 of the family's 1533-position model. The record is from RNAcentral.